GACGAACGCUGGCGGCGUGCUUAACACAUGCAAGUCGAACGGAAAGGCCCUGCUUUUGUGGGGUGCUCGAGUGGCGAACGGGUGAGUAACACGUGAGUAACCUGCCCUUGACUUUGGGAUAACUUCAGGAAACUGGGGCUAAUACCGGAUAGGAGCUCCUGCUGCAUGGUGGGGGUUGGAAAGUUUCUGCGGUUGGGGAUGGACUCGCGGCUUAUCAGCUUGUUGGUGGGGUAGUGGCUUACCAAGGCUUUGACGGGUAGCCGGCCUGAGAGGGUGACCGGCCACAUUGGGACUGCGAGACGGCCCAGACUCCUACGGGAGGCAGCAGUGGGGAAUAUUGCACAAUGGGCGGAAGCCUGAUGCAGCAACGCCGCGUGCGGGAUGACGGCCUGCGGGUUGUAAACCGCUUUCGCCUGUGACGAAGCGUGAGUGACGGUAAUGGGUAAAGAAGCACCGGCUAACUACGUG
Molecule: ribosomal RNA, 468 nt
Filed under: uncultured bacterium
Lineage: Bacteria
Description: partial 16S ribosomal RNA
Rfam family: Bacterial small subunit ribosomal RNA
Source: RNAcentral